CUCGCAAGAGUGAACUAGCUAACUGAAAUCAAUCUACAUAUAAAUAUUGAUUGAUAACGUAAGGGAAAAUUAUGAUAUUACCUUACUAUUAGUGUCGUCCAAAUCUGGUGCCAGAAGACUCGGUAAGGCCAGAGACGCAAACGUUAAUCGUCUUAAACAGGCGUAAAGGGUUUGUAGGCAGCUUUGAAUUUUCUCUUUUCCAAGUAAUUAGAUAAUUAAUCAAAGCUAGAAUCAAAUAGAGGUUAUAUUAUAUAAUGCUUAAAGUAGGUCUAAUAUCCUAACAGAUUAAGUGGAAUAUUAAAAGCGAAGGCUUAUUUACCAUAAAUGAUUGACGCUGAGAAACGAAGGUGAGGAUAGGAAAUAGGAUUAGAUACCCAAAAUACCCCUCUCUGUCAACGAUGAAUGGUGGUUGCUAAUUAUAAAAUUAGUAGCUAUGUUAACACGAUAACCAUUCCGCCUUGUGAGUACGACUGCAAAGUUGAAAACAAAAAAAUUAGUCGGUUUCGGAGCAAACGAAGUGAAGCAU
RNAcentral lists this ribosomal RNA (526 nucleotides) under Amylostereum chailletii. Its description in RNAcentral is "SSU rRNA". It matches the Rfam family "Bacterial small subunit ribosomal RNA", at positions 374 to 942 of the family's 1533-position model. The record is from RNAcentral. Lineage: Eukaryota; Fungi; Basidiomycota; Agaricomycetes; Russulales; Stereaceae.